This 24-nucleotide unclassified non-coding RNA is filed under the name Mus musculus (house mouse). Its description in RNAcentral is "oocyte_clustered_small_RNA8087". Lineage: Eukaryota; Metazoa; Chordata; Mammalia; Rodentia; Muridae. The record is from RNAcentral.
UCCUCACAUAUUGGCAUUGCUGGG